GACGAACGCUGGCGGCGUGCCUAAUACAUGCAAGUCGAGCGAGUCUGCCUUGAAGAUCGGAGUGCUUGCACUCUGUGAAACAAGAUACAGGCUAGCGGCGGACGGGUGAGUAACACGUGGGUAACCUGCCCAAGAGAUCGGGAUAACACCUGGAAACAGAUGCUAAUACCGGAUAACAACAGAUGAUGCCUAUCAACUGUUUAAAAGAUGGUUCUGCUAUCACUCUUGGAUGGACCUGCGGUGCAUUAGCUAGUUGGUAGGGUAACGGCCUACCAAGGCGAUGAUGCAUAGCCGAGUUGAGAGACGGAUCGGCCACAUUGGGACUGAGACACGGCCCAAACUCCUACGGGAGGCAGCAGUAGGGAAUCUUCCACAAUGGACGCAAGUCUGAUGGAGCAACGCCGCGUGAGUGAAGAAGGGUUUCGGCUCGUAAAGCUCUGUUGUUGGUGAAGAAGGACAGGGGUAGUAACUGACCUUUGUUUGACGGUAAUCAAUUAGAAAGUCACGGCUAACUAAGUG
RNAcentral lists this ribosomal RNA (519 nucleotides) under uncultured bacterium. RNAcentral's name for it is "partial 16S ribosomal RNA". It matches the Rfam family "Bacterial small subunit ribosomal RNA", at positions 28 to 507 of the family's 1533-position model. The record is from RNAcentral.